This 237-nucleotide ribosomal RNA is filed under the name uncultured bacterium. RNAcentral's name for it is "partial 16S ribosomal RNA". It matches the Rfam family "Bacterial small subunit ribosomal RNA", at positions 96 to 334 of the family's 1533-position model. The record is from RNAcentral.
CGGCGCACGGGUGAGUAACACGUAUCCAACCUGCCGAUAACUCGGGGAUAGCCUUUCGAAAGAAAGAUUAAUACCCGAUGGUAUAAUCAGACCGCAUGGUCUUGUUAUUAAAGAAUUUCGGUUAUCGAUGGGGAUGCGUUCCAUUAGGCAGUUGGUGAGGUAACGGCUCACCAAACCUUCGAUGGAUAGGGGUUCUGAGAGGAAGGUCCCCCACAUUGGAACUGAGACACGGUCCAA